GCUGAUACGGCUCAGUUGGUAGAGCGCACCUUUAAUGAGGGUGAGUCGGCAGUGCGAAUCUGCCUAUCAACACCA
Molecule: transfer RNA, 75 nt
Filed under: Shewanella frigidimarina
Lineage: Bacteria; Pseudomonadati; Pseudomonadota; Gammaproteobacteria; Alteromonadales; Shewanellaceae
Also listed under: 10 other names
Description: tRNA-Ile
Rfam family: tRNA
About the family: Transfer RNA (tRNA) molecules are approximately 80 nucleotides in length.
Source: RNAcentral